CGCUGGCGGCGUGCUUACACAUGCAAGUCGCACGAGAACACUCAGCUUGCUGGGGUAAGUAAAGUGGCGCACGGGUGAGUAACGCGUGGGUAAUCUGCCCUCGAAUCUGGGAUAACCCCGCGAAAGCGGGGCUAAUACCGGAUGAAAUCCAGUUAGCUUUGGCUAUAUGGAUCAAAGGUGGCCUCUGCAUGCAAGCUACUGUUUGGGGAUGAGCCCGCGUACCAUUAGCUUGUUGGUGGGGUAAAGGCCCACCAAGGCGACGAUGGUUAGCUGGUCUGAGAGGAUGAUCAGCCACACUGGAACUGGAACACGGUCCAGACUCCUACGGGAGGCAGCAGUGAGGAAUUUUGCGCAAUGGGGGUAACCCUGACGCAGCAACGCCGCGUGAGUGAUGAAGGCCUUCGGGUCGUAAAGCUCUGUCAAGUGGGAAGAACCCAUUCCGGCACAACAAGCCGGGGUGCUGACGGUACCACUGAAGGAAGCACCGGCUAACUCCGUGCCAGCAGCCGCGGUAAUACGGAGGGUGCGAGCGUUAUUCGGAAUUACUGGGCGUAAAGGGCGCGUAGGCGGCCGAUUAAGUCAGAUGUGAAAUCCCGGGGCUUACCCCCGGAAGUGCAUUUGAUACUGAACGGCUUGAGUAUGGGAGAGGGAAGUGGAAUUCCUGGUGUAGCGGUGAAAUGCGUAGAUAUCAGGAGGAACGCCGGUGGCGAAGGCGACUUCCUGGACCAAUACUGACGCUGAGGCGCGAAGGCGUGGGGAGCAAACAGGAUUAGAUACCCUGGUAGCCCACGCAGUAAACGGUG
This 803-nucleotide ribosomal RNA is filed under the name uncultured organism. RNAcentral describes it as "bacterial SSU rRNA". It matches the Rfam family "Bacterial small subunit ribosomal RNA", at positions 34 to 811 of the family's 1533-position model. The record is from RNAcentral.